AAGAAAGACACAAUGGCUGUGAUAUUGGCUUGAAACCGANUAGAGGGGGUUCGAUUCCUUCCUUUCUUG
This 69-nucleotide transfer RNA is filed under the name Orcinus orca (killer whale). RNAcentral describes it as "tRNA-Ser". Lineage: Eukaryota; Metazoa; Chordata; Mammalia; Artiodactyla; Delphinidae. The record is from RNAcentral.